This 460-nucleotide ribosomal RNA is filed under the name uncultured bacterium. RNAcentral's name for it is "partial 16S ribosomal RNA". It matches the Rfam family "Bacterial small subunit ribosomal RNA", at positions 338 to 795 of the family's 1533-position model. The record is from RNAcentral.
CCUACGGGAGGCAGCAGUGAGGAAUAUUGGUCAAUGGGCGCGAGCCUGAACCAGCCAAGUAGCGUGAAGGAUGACUGCCCUACGGGUUGUAAGCUUCUUUUGUAAAGGAAUAAAGUGAGGCACGUGUGCCUUUUUGUAUGUACUUUAUGAAUAAGGAUCGGCUAACUCCGUGCCAGCCGCCGCGGUAAUACGGAGGAUCCGGGCGUUAUCCGGAUGUAUUGGGGUUAAAGGGAGCGUAGAUGGGUUGUUAAGUCAGUUGUGAAAGUUUGCGGCUCAACCGUAAAAUUGCAAUUGAUACUGGCAGUCUUGAGUACAGGUGAGGUAGGCGGAAUUCGUGGUGUAGCGGUGAAAUGCUGAGAUAUCACGAAGAACGCCGAUUGCGAAGGCAGCUUACUAAACUGCCACUGACAUUGAUGCUCGAAAGUGUGGGGAUCAAACAGGAUUAGAUACCCGGGUAGUC